Long non-coding RNA from Centruroides sculpturatus (bark scorpion), 551 nucleotides. RefSeq lists it as uncharacterized. The record is from RefSeq and is a predicted model, not a curated record. NCBI's taxonomy places the organism in Eukaryota, Metazoa, Arthropoda, Arachnida, Scorpiones, Buthidae. The transcript is spliced from 2 exons.
UAACAGUGUAUAAAAUUUAAAAAUAAAUAAAUAUAUAUAUAUAUAUAUAUAUAAAUACAAGAAGAAAAAAAAAUUCUAAUAAUUACUAAUAAAAUUGUAUGGGUUGUUGAGAAAAAUAAAUGGAAACUUUUCUAGUAUGAAGCUGUUUGUUAUAUGAAUCACACGACGCGCUAAAUGGUGAUUGACGCAACACUUAAUUGUUAUUGUCUGUCGUCAUUUAAUUUCGAUAAACAUAUUUAUAGAAAAAUACAGUAUAUGAAUAGGUAUUGUUUAAAAAUAAAAAAUAACACCUUGCAGCUUAUUGUUAACCGGGGUAUUAAAAUUCAAAUAUCCAAUGAUUUUCUUGUGAGGGGGGGAGAAAGGGUGUGAGAAAUUAGGUCGAUCGGAAAAGUGGUUUCCGAAUCGAGUCACAUGACUUAAUAAUAACUUCUGCCCCCCUUCAAUAUAAUAAUAAUAACGAACCAAUAAAACAGUAGCCAAACGGGAGAAGUGCGUACGCGAACAAUACAGUUAAUUGUGCGUGCCAUUUGUAAAUUUUAGUAAACGUAAAA